UAAUAUAAGAGUUUGAUCCUGGCUCAGGAUGAACGCUGGCGGCGUGCUUAACACAUGCAAGUCGAGCGAAAAUAAUUAGGAGCUUGCUUUUAAUUAUUUUAGCGGCGGACGGGUGAGUAACGUGUGGGCAACCUGCCUUUUACUGUGGAAUAAUCACUGGAAACGGUGACUAAUACCGCAUACGGUUCUUAGGAGGCAUCUUCUAAGAAAGAAAGGAUUUAUUCGGUAAAAGAUGGGCCCGCAUCUGAUUAGCUAGUUGGUGAGAUAAUAGCCCACCAAGGCAACGAUCAGUAGCCGACCUGAGAGGGUGACCGGCCACAUUGGGACUGAGACACGGCCCAAACUCCUACGGGAGGCAGCAGUGGGGAAUAUUGCACAAUGGGCGAAAGCCUGAUGCAGCAACGCCGCGUGAAGGAAGACGGUUUUCGGAUUGUAAACUUCUAUCAAUAGGGAAGAAAGAAAUGACGGUACCUAAAUAAGAAGCCCCGGCUAACUACGUGCCAGCAGCCGCGGUAAUACGUAGGGGGCAAGCGUUAUCCGGAAUUACUGGGUGUAAAGGGAGAGUAGGCGGCAAGGUAAGCGAUAUGUGAAAGCCUUAAGCUUAACUUAAGGAUAGCAUAACGAACUAUCUAGCUAGAGUACAGGAGAGGAAAGCGGAAUUCCUAGUGUAGCGGUGAAAUGCGUAGAUAUUAGGAAGAACACCAGUGGCGAAGGCGGCUUUCUGGACUGAAACUGACGCUGAGGCUCGAAAGCGUGGGGAGCGAACAGGAUUAGAUACCCUGGUAGUCCACGCUGUAAACGAUGAGUGCUAGGUGUCGGGGAGGAAUUCCCGGUGCCGGAGCAAACGCAAUAAGCACUCCACCUGGGGAGUACGACCGCAAGGUUGAAACUCAAAGGAAUUGACGGGGGCCCGCACAAGCGGUGGAGCAUGUGGUUUAAUUCGAAGCAACGCGAAGAACCUUACCAAGGCUUGACAUCCUCUUGACGAAUGUAGAGAUACAUUUUUUCUUCGGAACAAGGGAGACAGGUGGUGCAUGGUUGUCGUCAGCUCGUGUCGUGAGAUGUUGGGUUAAGUCCCGCAACGAGCGCAACCCUUAUCUUCAGUAGCCAGCAGGUAGAGCUGGGCACUCUGGAGAGACUGCCGUGGAUAACACGGAGGAAGGUGGGGAUGACGUCAAAUCAUCAUGCCCCUUAUGUCUUGGGCAACACACGUGCUACAAUGGCUAGAAACAAAGUGAAGCGAGACGGUGACGUUAAGCAAAGCACAAAAACCUAGUCCCAGUUCGGAUUGUAGUCUGCAACUCGAGUACAUGAAGCUGGAAUCGCUAGUAAUCGCAAAUCAGAAUGUUGCGGUGAAUACGUUCCCGGGCCUUGUACACACCGCCCGUCACACCAUGGGAGUUGGAAGCGCCCGAAGUCGAUGACCUAACCGCGAGGGAGGAGUCGCCGAAGGUGAAGCCAGUGACUGGGGUGAAGUCGUAACAAGGUAGCCGUAUCGGAAGGUGCGGCUGGAUCACCUCCUUU
Molecule: non-coding RNA, 1524 nt
Organism: Clostridium sp.
Lineage: Bacteria; Bacillati; Bacillota; Clostridia; Eubacteriales; Clostridiaceae
Source: Rfam